CAAUCUGUUUGAGGCAGAUCCUCAUCUAGUUGUGGCAGACUCACACUUAACUACUUAGAAUCACCCAUUAUAGUAGGCUCGACUACAUCACUUAUCUAAUCACAUGUCUUUUAGAACUACUUCCCAAACCUCUAAUAUUUAAAAA
Populus trichocarpa (black cottonwood) is the source of this 145-nucleotide non-coding RNA. The record is from Rfam. NCBI's taxonomy places the organism in Eukaryota, Viridiplantae, Streptophyta, Magnoliopsida, Malpighiales, Salicaceae.